GGAAAGACCUGAAUCACCUCUCAAGCUCUGGUUCUCCCUGGCUGUUUAGAUACCAGGGAAGGUUUGAGUUGGCCCUGUGGGAUCAACUGUCACUCCAGCCCCACUGGAAAUUUCCAUUUUAAUCUGGGAAAAGAGGGAAAUCUACCACUAGGAGGGUGAGCUUCGCGCAACUCUUGCAGCCAAACGUCCUCACAACUGAAGCAGGAAGUGGCUUUUCUAUCUUCAGGGAAUGGUUGUUUCUGGGACCGUCCUUCACAGGCUUGCAGUACCUGAACUGAACCAGUGUCUGGGUGUGGAGGAUCCACCUGAGGAUUGUUGCCAACAGCCAUAAAAAGAGAACUGGAGGGGAAGAUCGAAGGCUGUUGAUUUUCUAGGAGCAGCUUGUGUGGAUGGUCUUCCUGAUAGGAACUCGGCUGUUUUCAUCAGAGGGGGAGCUCAGGCCUCACUGUGGCUGGGAAUGGCUGCUGUUCUGUCAGGGGAGCUCUGAUCUUCACCGUGAGCAUCACUUCCUGGCUCCAGUAUGGAUCCCUCAGCCUGUGGCACAAAUCCUUCACCCCACCGGCAUAGGCUUUCUGGCUCCCACCACUGGCCUUUGGGCCUUCAGGUGCAGAUCCUCAAUACUGACAAGCGUGAGACGUUGCCAUGGGCUCUGGGCCUCUGGCUGGACUCAUGGAGGACACUGCCUUGGGCUCUAAGCCUUUAGCUGGACUUGUGUGGGAAAUUGCUGAUCCAGGCUCUCGGCUAGAUUCUUUGGGCCCCUAAUGUGUGGC
RNAcentral lists this long non-coding RNA (770 nucleotides) under Heterocephalus glaber (naked mole-rat). Its description in RNAcentral is "lncRNA (ENSHGLG00000044641.1)". Lineage: Eukaryota; Metazoa; Chordata; Mammalia; Rodentia; Bathyergidae. The record is from RNAcentral.